CUUGGUGGCGCUGUGGCGGCUGGGAAAGCUCACCCAGCGCUCGCCCUUUCUGCCGCUCAAUCACACGGUAGGACACGAGAUCGAGCGGAGGCUGUGGAAGACGGAGGACGGGAUAGACGAAAAGGGAAAAAGACUGGAGUCCUCACAUGGGAGCAGCUGUGCUGCCUAAUCCACUUUCAUCUGACAGAAUCUGCUAAAGAACUCUUUGGAAAAGCCUUUAUGCCUUCAAACGCACGCUUUUAAUUCCAUGGACCUAAAGGCAGGAAAAUAAAAAAGCCAACCCCUGGCUCUUGCUAGUGGACAGAUUGUAAAGUAAAAGCACGGCUGGACAGGGGAAGGGUUGUAUGGGUGCCAAAUCCCCAUCUAAGACCCACCACAUCUCAACCUACAGCCUCCUCCUCCCUCCUCCACCUCCUUCCACAUCUUGCUUCUCCUCUUUCUUCUCAUUCUCCACUUUUCUCUCCCAUGGGAGUGACAUAGAGGCCACUGCUUCUGCGCCGCCCUAUCUCCACCUCGCCGUGGAAACGGGGAUGUCCAGGUAGUGAUGUCGUGGAAGAGGAACUACUUUGCGUCGGGCGGCGGAGCAGCCAGCGGGGUUCAGGGGCUGGUGACCCCGAGAACCAUGACCUCUAUCGCACCCAGCAAGGGCCUGAGCAACGAGCCGGGACAGAACAGCUGCUUCCUCAACAGCGCUCUGCAGGUUUUAUGGCACCUUGACAUCUUCCGCAGAAGCUUUCGACAGCUGACCACUCACAAGUGCAUGGAGGACUCCUGCAUCUUUUGUGCUUUGAAGAGUAUCUUUGCACAGUUCCAGUUCAGUAGCGAGCGCGUCCUACCAUCCGAUGCGCUGCGGAGCGCUCUGGCCAAGACUUUUCAAGACGAGCAACGCUUCCAGCUGGGAAUCAUGGACGACGCCGCUGAAUGCUUCGAGAAUCUCCUGAUGCGCAUCCACUUCCACAUCAGCACGGAGAGCAGGGAGGACAUCUGCACCGCUAAACACUGCAUACCACACCAGAAGUUUGCCAUGACUCUGUUUGAGCAGUGUGUGUGUAACAGCUGUGGAGCCACAUCGGACCCCCUCCCCUUCAUUCAGAUGGUUCAUUACAUCUCCACCACAUCCCUAUGUAAUCAGGCGGUGAGGAUGCUGGAGUGCAGAGAGAAACCCACGCCGGACAUGUUUGGAGAGCUCCUGCGCAACGCCAGCAACAUGGGAGACCUGCGCAACUGUCCUAGUAACUGUGGGGAGGUGUUGCGAAUCCGCCGGGUCCUCAUGAACUCGCCAGAGAUUGUGUCCAUCGGGCUGGUGUGGGACUCAGACCACUCUGACCUGGCAGAGGACGUCAUCCACAGCCUGGGAACCUGCCUGCGACUGGGAGAUUUGUUCUACCGUGUGACAGAGGAGAGGGCUCGCCAGGCGGAGCUUUACUUGGUGGGAAUGGUGUGCUACUAUGGCAAGCACUACUCCACCUUCUUCUUCCAGACCAAGAUACGCAAGUGGAUGUACUUCGAUGACGCGCACGUCAAAGAGAUUGGCCCAAAGUGGAAGGACGUAGUGUCUCGCUGUAUCAAAGGCCAUUAUCAGCCCCUGCUGCUGCUCUACGCUGACCCCCGUGGGACGCCUGUGUUACUGCAGGAGAGCUCCAACCCUUGCAGCAGCUCCAACCCGCAGCUGGAGCUCCAGCACUGCAGCAGCAAAGCCGGAUACGACAGUGAAGAUUCAGGUCGGGAGCCAUCCAUAUCAAGUGACACCCGCACCGACUCUUCAACCGACAGCUCCAGUCACCGCACCUCUCGCAGUCGACCCCUGCAUCAGUCCACAGGCAGCCACCUCUCCAGUGAAUCGCAGACCACAGUUGUCUGUAAUUACGACACCGGCACGCCACCGCUUGGUGCCGACGCUGGAGAGUCAGCACUGGAGGGUUCUGCCCGCCCCCCUUCUCCUCCCCUGCAGGAGUACAAGGAGACGGCCGUUUUCCUCCUCUCCUCCCGCAGGCCUCUCGCCUCUUCCUCCUCUUCUUCUCGCCCCCUGUCCUCCUCCUCUUCCUCAGGAGUUGGGGGCUGUGAAGGCGGGGUCGGGCCCCACUGGGAGGAUGAAAGUACGAGCAGCGAGAGCAAGUCCAGUUCUUCUGGAGGCCGUUACCGGCCAACUUGGAGGCCUCGAAGAGAGGCUCUAAACAUCGACAGCAUCUUCACUCAUCAAAGAGGCUCCUCUCUGGGCUACAACACCGUUCCUGGCCAUCCAGCCUCUCUGGAGUCCCAAGACUCCGUCAUCCUGGCGGGACCUGUUCUUCAACCUGGGCUACAAGACGUGAAAGGGAGGGAAAGCAGAGAGUUGAAGGUGGGCUUUGGGCUGGUCGGCCCGCCCAGGGCUCUGACUGAAAGGCGGACAAUGGGUCCCCCUGCUUCUCCACCUAUGAGAGGGGUGGAGCAUCAGCCGCGUCUGAUCCAGAGGAUGGAGAGUGGCUACGAGAGCAGCGAGAGAAACAGCAGCAGCCCUGACAGGGAGGUGGGCCAACAAAAGCCAGUGCUGAUGUCCGUACCAUCAUGGCGUUCAGUGCCCAAAUCUAAGAGCACCAAUGCUAUCUUGCAGGAGCUGCCAUCGCCCGGCUGGAGUGGAGCCGCUGCCAAAGCCUCAGGUCGCAGUGAGCUCGACGAGCUCCAGGAGGAGGUUGCAAGAAAAGCUCGCCAGCAGGAGCAGCAGAAGCAGAAAGAGGCAGAGCGGGAAGCUGCCAUGGGAUUUAACCCCAAACCCAGCAAAUUCAUGGACCUGGACCAGCUUCAACACCAGGCUGUGCUCAGACCCCUGCAUGAGGCUAACGCUCAUAGCGGAUUGGCUGUAGCUGCGUGCAUGAGGAGCACUGGGGGCCCAAUCAAACGCAGGCAGGAACAGGAAACGGAACGGGAGACAGCAAGCGCCUGCCCACAGGUUCCAUGCAGUGAACAGCCUGACUCAGUCCAAGUACUGCUGACAUCCAGCCAGGAGGAGGAAGAGGAGCAGGCCACGCCCGGCCCGCAUGCCACCCCGGUCCAGGACCUGCCCCCUCCUCCACCCUAUCGACCUGCUUCCCCUCGAUCUGCGCUCACCCUCAACCUCACUCAUCCUUGUGGCCCUUCCACCCAUGAGAAUGGGCAAGGGGUGGGCAUGAGGAGGAGAGGGGAGGAAGGGGGGAAUGGAAGGGAGGGGACUGGGGUGAGGUUGUGUGAGUUGCUGCAGGCUGGGGGGGUCAGCGUGAGACCCCUGGGGAAGCACUUAGCCAUCUCCCUCCCCUCUCUCCCUCUGCGUCUCUGGGACAGCACACACACCUCACCCCCCCCACAACCUGCACACACUCAAACUCAGCCCUCAACGCCUCCCUCGUCCCCCCCACCACAAGUCCCUGGGCAAAGGAAGCCUUUUACUCCGCUGUGGCAGCCUCCCCAGCCCCAGUCCCCUGAUGUCAGUGGUUGCCAAAGGAAACACUACGCCACCACUGCUGCAGAUAGCGGCGUGCGUCACUGGUCUUCCUGGAGCCUAGACCGGCCCGAUGCCGUGGUAACGCCAUACGACACUCCCCCAGACCGCUGUGUUCCCUUCAUGCCGCAGAUGCACAGUCAGAUCCACAGCUGCAAUUGUCAGUCUUGUCCGGGGCACCACAACUCCCAGCAUGCCCAGGGACAGCAGGCCGAUCCCUGCUGUGGACGUGAUGAGGCUGAACUGUCUGAGCUCGACUCCCUUUACCAGGCCAGCCUGCAGGCUGGAAGGACAGGCUGCAGCCCAUCAGAGAGGCUCAUUUUCAGAGUGGGGGGGCAGGCUCGCUCUAAAACCCCCAAUGCAGACAUGGAGAGGAGUGUGUACGGGGAAGACAGCCCCCCUGCCUACCUCAACAAGCCAAUGAAAUCAUGGGAUCCACGUUUUGGGGUGGGGCCAGAUGAUGGGGAGAACCAGAGGCAAAUAGGACGCAGCCUGAGUGGGACAGUUGUGACCUCCCGCCACAAUCGUUUGACUGCAACCCGCAGUUUUGUGAAGCAGGCUGAUGCCAGUGCCUCUCCUUGCUUACUUCCUCUCUUCUGAGUCCCUGUUGCUAUUCCACUACUCAUCAUCUCCUCCAUCCUCCUCAUCACCAACACCUUCAUCAUCACUUCCCUUCACUGCUUUCAAGGAGCUGCCAGAAGGCGCAGGGAGUUUCUGGCUCUGUCUGACCGGAGUCAAGCUGGCUUCUGACCGGAAUCCGGCUCUCCUCCACUAACGUCUCACCGCGUUUCGGCACAGCAGCUCCCUGGUUCUCCACAUCCCAGCCCUUAUGGAUGUGGAGUAUACUAAGUAGGAUCAAAUAAAUCAAAGCCUGUCCCACCCCUCCACAUGCAAUUACACACACACAAACACACACACCUGCACUGACGUAGAACCCCUCUCAGCGCCUGCAGCACCCUGCUUAGUCCCUUCUUGCCUUCCUCCCCUUCUUAACCUCUUAUUCUGUCUAUGCAGUCAAUCUGACCCCCCCUGACAAAACCUAAGCUCCUCCUUCUCCUCUUUAGUACUGUCUUUCGUCUCCCUGAGGGUUUCCCUGUGUGAUGGGCCUGGUCUGACCGGGACCGGCGCUCCAAGCGAACCUUUUGCCCUCCUCACAGACCCCUACCUCAGGGCAGACUCCUACCAAGUAGCCACGCCUCUUCCUCUUUCUUCACGGGCAUUUAAUGUUGGACGCACAUGUAGCUGAACUGAGUCUGUUUCAGAUCGACAGCCAUAUUUUUCUCUUUUUCGUUUUGGGGGUUUGGUUGUGUUUCUUUCUUGUGUGUACGCACAGUAAAUCCACCCAGACUGAACUCUUCUUAGCUACAAGUCAUGUACAGAAAAAAACAAGCCCAUGUAUGAAAACCUGUAUGUUAAUUAAUAAGACCUUAUGGAAUGUUGAUAAUUAACAAAUAUUGAUAAACUCAAAGUGGUACUUCCUCGUGUCUGCAUUUUAACUAGGAGUGGAGUGCACUUCACAAGUGUCUAGCUGGAGUUUCCGUCCCCAAACCGUCUGCCAACCUAAUGACAGUUCUCCCAUUUCUACCGGGAGAUUAAAACAGAAAAGUGCUCGUGUUCCUGAUUUGACAUUUUCUUAUCUUUUCUAUCUAUACACCUGUCUUGCUUUGAUUCGUUCUCGCUUCCUCUCUUGGUUCCAAAAAAGGUGGCAUAGUUCCGAUGGAAUGGGAAGACGUUGGUUGGGAAACUCUUAGGUUUUUUAUUGUGGGAAGCAGAUGACUUAAGUGCACUUUGCAGGGCGGAUGGGCGGAAGUACACUCUCCGGGGGGACAGAGUGGAGGCUUUUGUUUUACUCCAAGGCCUCAGGUGAACUUAAAAUGACAUGGGUUUAAAGAUUGUUUAUGAAAAAAAAGCAAAAUGUUCAUAUCCAGCCCUAAACAGUGAUAUAUAAAUAUGCUUUUUAAUUGCGUAUUAGAGGUAUAUUUUCAGCCUAACUUCAGAGAUGUCAGCCAUUUUUCAUUGGUGUGAAGAAAAACUGCUCUCUUACCUGUACUGAGUAGCAUUCUGACGUGUGCAUUUCUAAUGAUGCAUUGUUCUUUAUAGAUUCACAAAGCCCAUGUAAAAACGGAUUCAGUGUCAAGUUUUUUCAUGACUUUACUGAUGGAUUGUUGUAACUAAACCAAAGGUUGGCCUGUUUUUGUUUUUUCAUUCUGAGGUCAUGAUGUGUUCUUUGUGUUUUUUGGGUCUUGGAUGUGAGAGAAUGUAGCCAAUUGUAGCGCAUGAGUCCGCUAUGCAAAUCAACCUUCCCUCACAAUCCUGCAUCAGAGACAGUCUGGUGGAAGACACACCCGGGGGGGACACUGAGACGAGGAGGAAGCCUCGCGUUUUAAAGCUGCUGGGGAACUUUGCUGCUCCGCCCGCGUCCGCUGCUGCGCUUGUCGCGCAGGUGGAGCGCAGCGAGCGGCCGGAGGAACAAGAGACAAAAGGGAGAAGCAGAGCGAAUGAAUGUAAACCAAAGGAUGAAACUGUGUGUUUGUGAAUGACGAGAUGGUCAAAGGCUGGAGGUCAUAACUAAAGGUGGGGGAGGGGGGUUGUGGGUGUGCAUCGACUGAGUGUGUGCCAGUUUUCGGGGUGGUGUUGCUCGGGGAAAGAGGUAACCUGUAUUUUUGCAAUAAAGUUAUUACCAAUGCACUCCCACAGGGGGCGUAGCUACACCCACA
Molecule: RNA transcript, 6168 nt
Organism: Oryzias latipes (Japanese medaka)
Lineage: Eukaryota; Metazoa; Chordata; Actinopteri; Beloniformes; Adrianichthyidae
Gene: usp54b
Gene name: ubiquitin specific peptidase 54b
Source: RefSeq, a predicted model, not a curated record